GUUUGAUCCUGGCUCAGGACGAACGCUUGUGGCAUGCCUAAUACAUGCAAGUCGAACGCUGAAGCACUCUGCUUGCAGAGUGCGGAUGAGUGGCGAACGGGUGAGUAACACGUGGGGAAUCUGCCUAGGAGUGGGGGAUAACAUUCGGAAACGGAUGCUAAUACCGCAUAUCUUCUUAGACCGCAUGGUCUAUGAAUGAAAGACGGCUUUGCUGUCGCUCUUAGAUGAUCCCGCGGCGUAUUAGUUAGUUGGUGGGGUAAAGGCCUACCAAGACAAUGAUACGUAGCCGACCUGAGAGGGUGAUCGGCCACACUGGGACUGAGACACGGCCCAGACUCCUACGGGAGGCAGCAGUAGGGAAUCUUCCACAAUGGGUGCAAACCUGAUGGAGCAAUGCCGCGUGAAUGAAGAAGGUCUUCGGAUCGUAAAGUUCUGUUAUUAGUGAAGAACAAAUCGAGGAGUAACUGUCUCGAUUUUGACGGUAACUAACCAGAAAGUCACGGCUAACUACGUGCCAGCAGCCGCGGUAAUACGUAGGUGACAAGCGUUGUCCGGAAUUAUUGGGCGUAAAGGGAGCGCAGGCGGUUGGAAUAGUCUGAUGUGAAAGCCCACGGCUUAACCGUGGAAGGUCAUUGGAAACUGUCCAACUUGAAUGCAGAAGAGGUAAGUGGAAUUCCAUGUGUAGCGGUGAAAUGCGUAGAUAUAUGGAGGAACACCAGUGGCGAAGGCGACUUACUGGUCUGUAAUUGACGCUGAGGCUCGAAAGCGUGGGUAGCGAACAAAAGUAGAUACCCUGGUAGUCCACGCCGUAAA
Molecule: ribosomal RNA, 813 nt
Filed under: uncultured bacterium
Lineage: Bacteria
Description: bacterial SSU rRNA
Rfam family: Bacterial small subunit ribosomal RNA
Source: RNAcentral